UACAGAGGGGGCAAGCGUUGUUCGGAAUUACUGGGCGUAAAGGGCGCGUAGGUGGCCUUCUAAGUUGAACGUGAAAUCCCUGGGCUCAACCCAGGAACUGCGUCCAAGACUGGGAGGCUUGAAUCCGGGAGAGGGAUGCGGAAUUCCAGGUGUAGCGGUGAAAUGCGUAGAUAUCUGGAGGAACACCGGUGGCGAAGGCGGCAUCCUGGACCGGGAUUGACACUGAGGCGCGAAAGCGUGGGGAGCAAACAGG
Molecule: ribosomal RNA, 253 nt
Filed under: uncultured bacterium
Lineage: Bacteria
Description: partial 16S ribosomal RNA
Rfam family: Bacterial small subunit ribosomal RNA
Source: RNAcentral